CACAGACAUGAAGAGGACAGGGCUGAGCUGGGAACAAUCCUGAUCACAUCUCCCAGUUCAAUGACCCGAGACCUGCAGAAGGGAGAACCACAGAAUCCCCAUAAUGUCAAAGUAGACCAUUCAGCCCAUUGUGUCGACACCAACCCUCCAAACAGCGUCCCACCCAGACCCACCCUAUCUCUGUAUUUCCAAUCGCUAAUCCAAUGUCGCCUGCUCCUCCCAGGACACUUAGCAUGGCCAAUCCACCCAAACCUGCACAUCUUUGGAAUCUGAGUGGAAACUGGAGCACCCAGAGGAAACCCUCACAGACACGGCAAGAAUGUGCAAACUCCAGGCAGUCGCCUGAGAGUGGAAUCGAAACCAGGUCCCCGGCGCGGUGAGCCAUCAGUGCUAACCACUGAGAUACUGUGCAACCACGUGCAUAAAUUCUUCGAUUUUCCUCAUUCCCACUAACUCUGCGGCAAAAUGGACUUCAACGUUCUCAGAAAAAAAUGCAGUAGUUCUCUGAACAAUCCCAUUCGCUGUACCUGUCAUUUCCACAAGAGAUUGGGAAACUUUGGAAAUCUUUUCACAUUUCAAUGCUCCAAGUGGCAUGAAAAAGGCAGUGUAAUAUGUCACACAUAGAAGAUUUGACAACCCAGAUGAUGUCCUUUCUGCUCACUGCUUUAACUGAGCAGGCCGAAGGAAAAGAUGGAUUGCUUAAUGUUACAUUACAGGAAAGGAAUAGAAUAUCUCACACACUCCUGGUGCCUUUGAUUCUUGCCACCUUUUUUUAAUACCAAAAUAAAUAACAGUUCUGUGAUGCCAUGAUUGAAAUUUGAUGCAAGUCGUACCAGUCCAAGGAAAGAACUUUCAUCCCAAGAAGAUACGGUGUGCUGUCAAUUUGGGGCUGUAAUUUGGUUUAUAUAAUGAAAGCUAUUGCAAAAUUGUAUCUGCCAAACCUGAUGUAACAUUUCAGUUCUUUUUACUGAUGUCUUUGGACAGUUACUGUGAGUAUUUAC
Stegostoma tigrinum is the source of this 1001-nucleotide long non-coding RNA. RefSeq lists it as uncharacterized. NCBI's taxonomy places the organism in Eukaryota, Metazoa, Chordata, Chondrichthyes, Orectolobiformes, Stegostomatidae. The record is from RefSeq and is a predicted model, not a curated record. The transcript is spliced from 3 exons.